RNAcentral lists this ribosomal RNA (441 nucleotides) under Lachnospiraceae bacterium oral taxon 100. Its description in RNAcentral is "bacterial SSU rRNA". It matches the Rfam family "Bacterial small subunit ribosomal RNA", at positions 28 to 450 of the family's 1533-position model. The record is from RNAcentral. Lineage: Bacteria; Bacillati; Bacillota; Clostridia; Lachnospirales; Lachnospiraceae.
GAUGAACGCGGCGGCGUGCUUAACACAUGCAAGUCGAACGGAGUUUAUACGGAAAGCGUCUUCGGACACCGGAAGUGUAAACUUAGUGGCGGACGGGUGAGUAACGCGUGGGUAACCUGCCUUAUACAAGGGGAUAACAGAGGGAAACUUCUGCUAAUACCGUAUAAAAAUAUUUCACGCAUGUGAGAUAUUUGAAAGAUUUAUCAGUAUAAGAUGGACCCGCGUCUGAUUAGGUAGUUGGUGAGGUAGAGGCUCACCAAGCCGACGAUCGGUAGCCGAUCUGAGAGGAUGACCGGCCACAUUGGGACUGAGACACGGCCCAAACUCCUACGGGAGGCAGCAGUGGGGAAUAUUGGACAAUGGGGGCAACCCUGAUCCAGCGACGCCGCGUGAGUGAAGAAGUAUUUUCGGUAUGUAAAAGCUCUAUCGAUAAACGGAAAG